This 495-nucleotide ribosomal RNA is filed under the name uncultured bacterium. Its description in RNAcentral is "bacterial SSU rRNA". It matches the Rfam family "Bacterial small subunit ribosomal RNA", at positions 21 to 507 of the family's 1533-position model. The record is from RNAcentral.
GGCUCAGGAUGAACGCUAGCGGCAAGGGCUUAACACAUGCAAGUCGAGGGCAGCGUGAGGUUAGCAUAACCCUUGACGGCGACCGGCGCAAGGGUGCGUAACGCGUGAGCAACUUGCCCUUAUCAGGGGGAUAACCGGUGGAAACGCCGACUAAUACCCCCAUGGCAUCACAUCAAGGCAUCUUUUUGUGAUUAAAGAAAUUCGGAUAAGGAUAGGCUCGCGUGACAUUAGCUAGACGGCGGGGUAACGGCCCACCGUGGCGACGAUGUCUAGGGGUUCUGAGAGGAAGGUCCCCCACACUGGAACUGAGACACGGUCCAGACUCCUACGGGAGGCAGCAGUGAGGAAUAUUGGUCAAUGGUCUGACGACUGAACCAGCCAUGCCGCGUGAAGGUCACGGCCCUAUGGGUCUUAAACUUCUUUUGCGAGGGAGCAAUAAGGUCUACGUGUAGUCCGAUGAGAGUACCUCGCGAAUAAGCAUCGGCUAACUCCGUG